RNAcentral lists this ribosomal RNA (734 nucleotides) under uncultured marine bacterium. RNAcentral's name for it is "bacterial SSU rRNA". It matches the Rfam family "Bacterial small subunit ribosomal RNA", at positions 14 to 794 of the family's 1533-position model. The record is from RNAcentral.
UGAUCCUGGCUCAGAACGUACGCUGGCGGCACGCCUAACACAUGCAAGUCGAACGCAGUAGCAAUACUGAGUGGCAAACGGGUGAGUAUAAUGUGGGAAUCUGCCUUUUGGUUUGGAAUAACACGGGGGAACUUGUGCUAAUACCGGAUAAGCCCUUACGGGGAAAGUUUUAACGCCGAAAGAUGAGCCUGCACUUGAUUAGCUAGUUGGUAAGGUAAAGGCUUACCAAGGCAACGAUCAAUAGCUGUUCUUAGAGGAAGACCAGCCACAUUGGGACUGAGACACGGCCCAGACUCCUACGGGAGGCAGCAGUGGGGAAUCUUGCACAAUGGGGGAAACCCUGAUGCAGCGAUGCCGCGUGAGUGAAGAAGGCCUUUGGGUUGUAAAACUCUUUCGUCGGGGAAGAAAAUGACUGUACCCGAAUAAGAAGGUCCGGCUAACUUCGUGCCAGCAGCCGCGGUAAUACGAAGGGACCUAGCGUAGUUCGGAAUUACUGGGCUUAAAGAGCUCGUAGGUGGUUAAAAAAGUUGAUGGUGAAAUCCCAAGGCUCAACCUUGGAACUGCCAUCAAAACUUUUUAGCUAGAGUGUGAUAGAGGUAAGUGGAAUUUCUAGUGUAGAGGUGAAAUUCGUAGAUAUUAGAAAGAACACCAAAUGCGAAGGCAACUUACUGGGUCACUACUGACACUGAGGAGCGAAAGCAUGGGUAGCGAAGAGAAUUAGAUACCCUCGUAGU